CUGCCUUCCACACAUCCCAGAGCUGCUGGAAACCUCACAUCAAAUUGCAGCUCACAUGUUGGGUUAUUUUUAUCUUUCUGGGGAGAUGGGGGAUGAAUGGACAGCGGAAGGAAGGAAGGAAGAUAUUCAAGGGCUUGGAUCCUCUGGUCAAUGGGUAAUUUGCUGGUGAAACUGAGGUAGGCAGAAUCUGGCUGCCAGCUGGCCACUGAGGCUGAGGAAAACCAUGGCUGGAUCCCAUAAAUACAUCGUGGUCCAUACCCCAUUGAAUUAAAAAGACCUAGAGAAUA
This is a long non-coding RNA of Pseudopipra pipra, 287 nucleotides long. RefSeq lists it as uncharacterized. The record is from RefSeq and is a predicted model, not a curated record. The transcript has 2 exons. Lineage: Eukaryota; Metazoa; Chordata; Aves; Passeriformes; Pipridae.